RNAcentral lists this ribosomal RNA (253 nucleotides) under uncultured bacterium. Its description in RNAcentral is "partial 16S ribosomal RNA". It matches the Rfam family "Bacterial small subunit ribosomal RNA", at positions 524 to 776 of the family's 1533-position model. The record is from RNAcentral.
UACGAAGGGGGCUAGCGUUGCUUGGAAUCACUGGGCGUAAAGCGCGCGUAGGCGGCUUCUUAAGUCAGGGGUGAAAUCCUGGAGCUCAACUCCAGAACUGCCUUUGAUACUGAGUAGCUUGAGUCCGGGAGAGGUGAGUGGAACUGCGAGUGUAGAGGUGAAAUUCGUAGAUAUUCGCAAGAACACCAGUGGCGAAGGCGGCUCACUGGCCCGGUACUGACGCUGAGGUGCGAAAGCGUGGGGAGCAAACAGG